RNAcentral lists this ribosomal RNA (258 nucleotides) under uncultured bacterium. RNAcentral describes it as "partial 16S ribosomal RNA". It matches the Rfam family "Bacterial small subunit ribosomal RNA", at positions 1245 to 1500 of the family's 1533-position model. The record is from RNAcentral.
GGGUGCGACACGGUGACGUGGGGCGGAUCCCUGAAAACCGGUCUCAGUUCGGAUCGCAGUCUGCAACUCGACUGCGUGAAGGUGGAGUCGCUAGUAAUCGCGGAUCAGCAACGCCGCGGUGAAUGCGUUCCCGGGCCUUGUACACACCGCCCGUCAAGUCAUGAAAGUGGGCAGCACCCGAAGACGGUGGCCUAACCCUUGUGGGGGGAGCCGUCUAAGGUGAGGCUCGUGAUUGGGACUAAGUCGUAACAAGGUAGC